AGGUCUGCAACGGGCCAGUGCAGCGCGUCCACCGUCUCAGAGGCCGGCCCCAGUGCAAGAUCUCAACUCAGGCAGAUGGUAAUACUCGAUGUGGUGAUAGUAGGGGGCGGACCUCACGCCUUGACCCUCGCUAGCUUGCUAUGUAACACUGAAUCUGAUCCAAAGUCAGACCCCAGACAUGACUUACACCGCCCUCCCUCCCCCGAGAACCCUGCAGGGCCUCAGACCGACCCAGAAACGCCCCACAACAAACGCUGCGUUGGCAGGAAGAACAGGAGAGCGGCCGCUGGCCCGACACUGGAGGAGCAACUAGCGAAGUCCACGAAAUCAGAGAGGCUGGACUUUCCGCCGACGAGUGUCCGAGUGGUGGAUUCUUAUGGAGCUUGGACGACUCUGUGGGAGAGCCAGUUCGCAGCUCUGAACAUCCCCCAUCUGCGCUCACACACACUGGUGCACACAGAUCCUCUCAAUAAGAAAGCCCUGCAGGAGUUUGUUUUAAAGUCCGAUCGCUCUGCAGAGCUUCACAGCCUCCCAGACCACGUCUACAUUCUGGACGAAAACGCAUUUUUCAAUGACAUGAGGCUCGGCAGGAAGGAGAAGAAACGUCUCAACAUCACGUCAACACUCAAGAAGAGUUUAUCUUUCAGUUUGCCCGGAAGCAAACUAAGUGUGGACUUUUUCAAAGACCAGGUGGAGAGAUACAACUUGGACAAAGUGCUGCUGAAGGGAACAGUGGAGCGCAUCACCCCAGUGAUGGAGGACAGGGCUGACUUUAUAAAAGAGGGGGAAGUCACAAGAGUGAAUGACAGGAAGAGGGUGAAGUAUUUUCAAGUCCUCCUUCAAGAGGGCACCCUCCUAAAAGCCCGCAAGGUCGUUAUGGCGACGGGUCCAACCCGUGCCCAGAUGGCCAACAUCCCUUCAUGGGUGAACAGCAUUGCAGAGAGCUACCCAGAGGAGCGUUUGCAACACACUGUGCAGCUCAUGCACCACCUGACAACUGCUUGGCAAAAACAGAAAGCCACAGCUAGUCCGAGACAUAAAGAGACUUCUCCCACUCAAGUGUGCGAGGCAGGGCAAAGAGUAAUGGUAGUUGGUGGAGGUCUGACCAGCGCUCAUGUCGUCUCAAUUGCCCUGCAACAUGGUGCCAGCCAUGUGACAUGGGUCAUGAGGAAGCACCUCCAGUUGAAGCAGUUCGAUGUGGGCGACGUGGAGAGCCUGGUGGGUCGGUACUCUCACGUGGAGCACGGCAUCAAGAUGGACGGCCAAGCCUACCUGAGGCAGUUCUACAACGAGCGGAGCCUCCACAAACGGCUGGCCAUGAUUCGCCAGGCGAGGAAAGGAGGGGCCGUCACCCCGGAGGCUUACGUCCACCUGCAGCCGUCCAUCCUGAACGGAAGGGUGGACGUGAAGACGUACUGUCAGGUGAGUGAAGCCAGCUGGUGCUACAGGAGCCAGGCCUGGAGUCUGUCGCUCAGCACUGGGGACCACUGGACCGGAGACAUGAUCUGGCUCGCCACCGGCUGCAAACUUGAUGUCAAACAGGACCCUUUGCUCUCUGAGGUGAUGAAGGAGUUCCCCAUUCAGGUGAUAGAUGGUUGGCCGUGCGUAUCAGAGAGCUUACUGUGGGCACAAGGGUGCCCCUUCUACCUGAUGGGGCAGUAUGCAGCUCUUCAGGCAGGUUGGACCUCAUGCGGUCAACCUGGCUGGCGGACAGGCUGCCAGCAUGCGCAUCGCCAAGGACAUCAUGUGCCAGCAGCAAAGAGACAACGUGAAGGCUUCUGAGCAGAGCGCGGAGACAUCUAAAACCGAAGAAUAUAUUCAACAGAUGCAAGACCAUAGGAGAAACGCGACGUGUCCGCGGGGUACGACGCGUGUAAAGUCACAUCUGGACGUCUAAUCACGCACGACCGUGGCCGUAGAGGUCUGGCCGAGCGGCUGGAGUCCUCGCCUCCUCGCUCCGGGCA
Molecule: RNA transcript, 1964 nt
Organism: Pungitius pungitius (ninespine stickleback)
Lineage: Eukaryota; Metazoa; Chordata; Actinopteri; Perciformes; Gasterosteidae
Exons: 11
Source: RefSeq, a predicted model, not a curated record